The submitters of this non-coding RNA (59 nucleotides) gave its source as unclassified sequences. The record is from Rfam.
AGCUGACGGCGGCCCCGUUGGGGGCCGUAAAGCUGCCAGGCAGAAGGUCCGAAGCCCUA